This 406-nucleotide ribosomal RNA is filed under the name uncultured bacterium. Its description in RNAcentral is "partial 16S ribosomal RNA". It matches the Rfam family "Bacterial small subunit ribosomal RNA", at positions 30 to 526 of the family's 1533-position model. The record is from RNAcentral.
AUUGAACGCUGGCGGCAGGCCUAAAACAUGCAAGUCGAACGAGUGGCGGACGGGUGAGUAAUGUCUGGGAAACUGCCUGAUGGAGGGGGAUACCUACUGGAAACGGUCGCUAAUACAGACUAACAUCAGAUGUGCCCAGAUGGGAUUAGCUUGUUGGUGGGGUAACGGCUCACCAAGGCGACGCUCCCUAGCUGGUCUGAGAGGAUGACCAGACACACUAUACCUUUGACACGGUCCAGACUCCUACGGGAGGCAUCGUUGGUGAAUAUUGCACAAUGGGCGCAAGCCUGAUGCAGCCAUGCCGAGUGUAUGAAGAAGGCCUUCGGGUUGUAAAGUACUUUCAGCGGGGAGGCGUUACCCGCAGAAGAAGCACCGGCUAACUCCGUGCCAGCAGCCGCGGUAAUAC